RNAcentral lists this ribosomal RNA (305 nucleotides) under uncultured bacterium. Its description in RNAcentral is "bacterial SSU rRNA". It matches the Rfam family "Bacterial small subunit ribosomal RNA", at positions 335 to 657 of the family's 1533-position model. The record is from RNAcentral.
UAUCCUACGGGGGGCAGCAGUGGGGGAUAUUGCACAAUGGGGGAAACCCUGAUGCAGCGACGCCGCGUGGGUGAAGAAGCGCCUCGGCGCGUAAAGCCCUGUCAGCAGGGAAGAAAAUGACGGUACCUGAAGAAGAAGCCCCGGCUAACUACGUGCCAGCAGCCGCGGUAAUACGUAGGGGGCAAGCGUUAUCCGGAUUUACUGGGUGUAAAGGGGGCGCAGACGGCGAUGCAAGCCAGGAGUGAAAGCCCGCGGCCCAACCGCGGGACUGCAUUGGGAACUACCGGGCUGGAGUGCCGGAGAGG